RNAcentral lists this small nuclear RNA (106 nucleotides) under Peromyscus maniculatus bairdii (prairie deer mouse). Lineage: Eukaryota; Metazoa; Chordata; Mammalia; Rodentia; Cricetidae. The record is from RNAcentral.
GUGCUUCCUUUGGUAGCACAUAUACUGAAUUGGAAUGAUACAGUGAAGAUUAGCACGGUCUUUGCACAAGGAUGACACACAAAUUUGUGACAUAAUAUUGUGUCCC